GAUGAACGCUGGCGGCGUGCCUAACACAUGCAAGUCGAACGGAGAUGCGAUGUGAGCGAGAGGUGCUUGCACUGAUUAAUCUUUUCGUAUCUUAGUGGCGGACGGGUGAGUAACGCGUGGGUAACCUGCCUUAUACCGGGGGAUAACACUUAGAAAUAGGUGCUAAUACCGCAUAAGCGCACGGUGUCGCAUGACACAGUGUGAAAAACUCCGGUGGUAUAAGAUGGACCCGCGUCUGAUUAGCCAGUUGGCAGGGUAACGGCCUACCAAAGCGACGAUCGGUAGCCGGACUGAGAGGUUGAACGGCCACAUUGGGACUGAGACACGGCCCAGACUCCUACGGGAGGCAGCAGUGGGGAAUAUUGCACAAUGGGGGAAACCCUGAUGCAGCGACGCCGCGUGAGUGGUGAAGUAUUUCGGUAUGUAAAACUCUAUCAGCAGGGAAGAUAAUGACGGUACCUGACUAAGAAGCUCCGGCUAAAUACGUGCCAG
This 492-nucleotide ribosomal RNA is filed under the name uncultured bacterium. Its description in RNAcentral is "bacterial SSU rRNA". It matches the Rfam family "Bacterial small subunit ribosomal RNA", at positions 28 to 511 of the family's 1533-position model. The record is from RNAcentral.